GUCGUAUUCGGAUCGCUUAUUGUGGACAGUUGUGGACAAAUGGACAAGUUUUUACAUUUUCGGGUUUGUUGAAAAACGCAGUUGCGGACUGGAGCCAUGGCAGAUUUCUACGGCCAAAAGCGGACGCAUAGAAAACUGUAUUCCGGUCAAUGCGAGGACUAAUGUCUGGAAUUAGUAUAAACUGCAGAUUUUUCAGCCUUGGAGAAAAUUUAUAGUUAAUAAGAUGAUGAAACAUUGUAGCAUUGUAGGUUAAGUGCAUUACGUUAUUAUUUUAAAUUUUAUAUAAGCUAUAAUAAAGUGUUUUAUUGCUCAUUGA
Molecule: long non-coding RNA, 316 nt
Organism: Aedes aegypti (yellow fever mosquito)
Lineage: Eukaryota; Metazoa; Arthropoda; Insecta; Diptera; Culicidae
Exons: 2
Source: RefSeq, a predicted model, not a curated record